UCUUCCGUAGUAUAGUGGUCAUUAUGCAAGCUUGUCACGCUUGAGACCCGGGUUCAAUUCCCGGCGGGAGAG
RNAcentral lists this transfer RNA (72 nucleotides) under Metarhizium album ARSEF 1941. It matches the Rfam family "tRNA". Rfam says of the family: Transfer RNA (tRNA) molecules are approximately 80 nucleotides in length. Their secondary structure includes four short double-helical elements and three loops (D, anti-codon, and T loops). Lineage: Eukaryota; Fungi; Ascomycota; Sordariomycetes; Hypocreales; Clavicipitaceae. The record is from Rfam by way of RNAcentral.